GAUGAACGCUGGCGGCGUGCCUAAUACAUGCAAGUCGAGCGAACAGACGAGGAGCUUGCUCCUCUGACGUUAGCGGCGGACGGGUGAGUAACACGUGGAUAACCUACCUAUAAGACUGGGAUAACUUCGGGAAACCGGAGCUAAUACCGGAUAAUAUAUUGAACCGCAUGGUUCAAUAGUGAAAGACGGUUUUGCUGUCACUUAUAGAUGGAUCCGCGCCGCAUUAGCUAGUUGGUAAGGUAACGGCUUACCAAGGCAACGAUGCGUAGCCGACCUGAGAGGUGGAUGGGCACCACUGGAACUAAAACACGGUCCGGACUCCAACGGGAGGCAGCGGUAGGAAAUCUUCCGCAAUGGGCGAAAGCCUGACGAACCAACGCCGCGGGGGUGAUGAAGGUCUUCGGAUCGUAAAACUCUGUUAUUAGGGAAAAACAAAUGUGUAAGUAACUAUGCACGUCUGAACGGAACCUAAUCAGAAGGCCACGGCUAACUACUU
This 496-nucleotide ribosomal RNA is filed under the name uncultured bacterium. Its description in RNAcentral is "partial 16S ribosomal RNA". It matches the Rfam family "Bacterial small subunit ribosomal RNA", at positions 28 to 506 of the family's 1533-position model. The record is from RNAcentral.